UCGAGGGGCAGCAUGAACUUAGCUUGCUGAGUUUGAUGGCGACCGGCGCACGGGUGAGUAACACGAUUUUUUUCCAACCUGCCGAUGACUCGGGGAUAGCCUUUCGAAAGAAAGAUUAAUACCCGAUGGCAUAGUUCUUCCGCAUGGGAUGAUUAUUAAAGAAUUUCGGUUGUCGAUGGGGAUGCGUUCCAUUAGGUUGUUGGCGGGGUAACGGCCCACCAAGCCUUCGAUGGAUAGGGGUUCUGAGAGGAAGGUCCCCCACAUUGGAACUGAGACACGGUCCAAACUCC
Molecule: ribosomal RNA, 290 nt
Filed under: uncultured Bacteroides sp.
Lineage: Bacteria; Pseudomonadati; Bacteroidota; Bacteroidia; Bacteroidales; Bacteroidaceae
Description: partial 16S ribosomal RNA
Rfam family: Bacterial small subunit ribosomal RNA
Source: RNAcentral